This is a long non-coding RNA of Strongylocentrotus purpuratus (purple sea urchin), 745 nucleotides long. RefSeq lists it as uncharacterized. The record is from RefSeq and is a predicted model, not a curated record. NCBI's taxonomy places the organism in Eukaryota, Metazoa, Echinodermata, Echinoidea, Camarodonta, Strongylocentrotidae. The transcript is spliced from 4 exons.
AAAUCGAUUUCGAUUUCAAAAAUCAAUUUUAAGGCCGAAUCAGUUUUAGCUUAAAACCGAUACAUGUGAGCUGUUUCAUCAAAUCGAUUUUAAGCUAAAAUAGAUUUUUAGGUGUCUGCAAUCAAGGCUAGUCAAUUUGGGGUAAAUCGAUCACAAAAUGGCCUUGCUUAACUACGGUGAGAGUCCUUGAAAAAGUCGGACUAAAAGAUGGAGUGGACCACAAGUCGUAUCCACCAAAUAGACCUUGGCUUUAGUCCAAGACUCAAAAGUUCUCUUCUGCCGUGUCUCUACAGUCUUGGACUUCUCAUUCUUCCUUGGCCUCAGGCUCAAGGAAAGGGUUUGGAUAUACAGAAUGUACUCAAGCUCAAUGUCUAGGUGUACAGCUAUAGAUCCUAAUGUGCUAAGCGGCCUUGUGGAGUGAUCUUCUUACUAGUACAAUUUGCACACCAAUAAUAAAACAAAGGUUGCAAAAUAAAGAGCUAUGGCAUCUGCAUGUACUGCUAGUUCAUGACAAAUGAACAUUUAUUGUCUAUCUCUUCAAAUUGAAAGGACUGCAGAGCCUGAAUUACCUGCAACGUUAUGCUUCUUAUGAAACAUCAGCCAGCCUACAGAUAGAAGCUCCCUUUUCCAGCUUUAAGCAAGAGGAACCACAAUGAGAUACAGAUCUUGGUAUCAUGGACUGGUCACUUUUUACAACCAACACUACUUGUAAAAUAAGAUUUACAAAUUAAUUCCUAUAAGCUAU